Molecule: ribosomal RNA, 272 nt
Filed under: uncultured bacterium
Lineage: Bacteria
Description: partial 16S ribosomal RNA
Rfam family: Bacterial small subunit ribosomal RNA
Source: RNAcentral
GUCCACGCCGUAAACGAUAACCACUAGAUGUUAGUCCGGCUUAGCUGGAUUAGUGUCGUAGCUAACGCGUUAAGUGGUUCGCCUGGGGAGUACGGUCGCAAGGCUAAAACUUAAAAGAAUUGACGGGGGUCCGCACAAGCGGUGGAACAUGUGGUUUAAUUCGACACUACGCGAGAAACCUUACCUGGGCUUGACAUGUGCUUGACAGCUGUAGAAAUACAGUCUUCUGGAUUUCGGUUCAGACAGGUACACAGGUGCUGCAUGGCUGUCGU